This 468-nucleotide ribosomal RNA is filed under the name uncultured bacterium. RNAcentral's name for it is "partial 16S ribosomal RNA". It matches the Rfam family "Bacterial small subunit ribosomal RNA", at positions 28 to 507 of the family's 1533-position model. The record is from RNAcentral.
GACGAACGCUGGCGGCGUGCUUAACACAUGCAAGUCGAACGGAAAGGCCCUGCUUUUGUGGGGUGCUCGAGUGGCGAACGGGUGAGUAACACGUGAGUAACCUGCCCUUGACUUUGGGAUAACUUCAGGAAACUGGGGCUAAUACCGGAUAGGAGCUCCUGCUGCAUGGUGGGGGUUGGAAAGUUUCGGCGGUUGGGGAUGGACUCGCGGCUUAUCAGCUUGUUGGUGGGGUAGUGGCUUACCAAGGCUUUGACGGGUAGCCGGCCUGAGAGGGUGACCGGCCACAUUGGGACUGAGAUACGGCCCAGACUCCUACGGGAGGAAGCAGUGGGGAAUAUUGCACAAUGGGCGGAAGCCUGAUGCAGCAACGCCGCGUGCGAGAUGACGGCCUUCGGGUUGUAAACCGCUUUCGCCUGUGACGAAGCGUGAGUGACGGUAAUGGGUAAAGAAGCACCGGCUAACUACGUG